CCUACGGGGAGCAGCAGUGAGGAAUAUUGGUCAAUGGCCGGAAGGCUGAACCAGCCAUGCCGCGUGAAGGUCAGUGCCCUAUGGGCGUUAAACUUCUUUUGUGCGGGAGCAAUAAUGGUCACGUGUGGCCAGACGAGAGUACCGUACGAAUAAGCAUCGGCUAACGCCGUACCAGCAGCCGCGGUAAUACGGGGGAUGCAAGCGUUAUCCGGAUUUAUUGGGUUUAAAGGGUGCGUAGGCUGUGAGGUAAGUCAGCGGUAAAAUGUCCGGGCUCAACCCGGGCCGGCCGUUGAUACUGGGGAUCUUGAGUGGGCGUGAGGUAUGCGGAAUGCGUGGUGUAGCGGUGAAAUGCAUAGAUAUCACGCAGAACUCCGAUUGCGAAGGCAGCAUACCGGCGCCCGACUGACGCUGAGGCACGAAAGCGUGGGGAUCGAACAGGAUUAGAUACCCGAGUAGUC
RNAcentral lists this ribosomal RNA (458 nucleotides) under uncultured bacterium. RNAcentral describes it as "partial 16S ribosomal RNA". It matches the Rfam family "Bacterial small subunit ribosomal RNA", at positions 338 to 795 of the family's 1533-position model. The record is from RNAcentral.